AUAACAAUUUGUAAAACUAAAAAUAAAGAUUGUGAUAAAUGCUUGUUUCAAUUUAACCCAUAUGAUCAAAUAACAUGUAUGGUCAGCUCGUACUGGACCGUACGCGUAUACUCAUACGGUCCGACCGUAUGCGUAUGGUCGGAUCGUACGAGUAUACGUAUACGGUCCGGACAGUACGCGUACAGUCCAAAUACUCAUAUGGUCUGGAACAUAUA
RNAcentral lists this long non-coding RNA (215 nucleotides) under Mytilus galloprovincialis (Mediterranean mussel). The record is from RNAcentral. Lineage: Eukaryota; Metazoa; Mollusca; Bivalvia; Mytilida; Mytilidae.